GAUGAACGCUGGCGGCGUGCCUAAUACAUGCAAGUCGAGCGAACAGACGAGGAGCUUGCUCCUCUGACGUUAGCGGCGGACGGGUGAGUAACACGUGGAUAACCUACCUAUAAGACUGGGAUAACUUCGGGAAACCGGAGCUAAUACCGGAUAAUAUAUUGAACCGCAUGGUUCAAUAGUGAAAGACGGUUUUGCUGUCACUUAUAGAUGGAUCCGCGCCGCAUUAGCUAGUUGGUAAGGUAACGGCUUACCAAGGCAACGAUGCGUAGCCGACCUGAGAGGGGGAGCGCCCACAGGGGAACGGAGACACGGCCAAGACCCCGACGGGAGGCAGAAGGGGGGAAUCCCCCAGAAGGGGCGAACGCCGGAAGGAGCACCGCCGCGUGAGGGAUGAAGUUCUUGGAACCUAAAAACUUUUUAAUGGGGAAAAAAAAAAGGUAAAAGAAAAUAGGCGCGUCUGGACGGACCCUAAUAAGAAACCCAGGCCAACCCCCGGC
This 497-nucleotide ribosomal RNA is filed under the name uncultured bacterium. Its description in RNAcentral is "partial 16S ribosomal RNA". It matches the Rfam family "Bacterial small subunit ribosomal RNA", at positions 28 to 508 of the family's 1533-position model. The record is from RNAcentral.